Non-coding RNA from Yersinia pestis FV-1, 127 nucleotides. The record is from Rfam. Lineage: Bacteria; Pseudomonadati; Pseudomonadota; Gammaproteobacteria; Enterobacterales; Yersiniaceae.
GAUUCUCAAUAAAGUGUUUUUCUUCCCCAUAGUGUAGAACUUCCCCUAAUUGGGAGGCGUUUCGUCGUGUGAUAAAGAAUGCGAAGACGAAUAAAUAUCCUCCGGCAUAGCCGGAGGUUUUUCAUAU